GAUCCUGUAGCUCAGUUGGUUAGAGCGCCGCCCUGUCACGGCGGAGGUCGCGGGUUCAAGUCCCGUCAGGAUCG
This 74-nucleotide transfer RNA is filed under the name Rhodoluna lacicola. RNAcentral's name for it is "tRNA-Asp (GTC) (tRNA-Asp-GTC-1-1)". It matches the Rfam family "tRNA". Rfam says of the family: Transfer RNA (tRNA) molecules are approximately 80 nucleotides in length. The record is from Rfam by way of RNAcentral. RNAcentral also lists the same sequence under 1 other name. Lineage: Bacteria; Bacillati; Actinomycetota; Actinomycetes; Micrococcales; Microbacteriaceae.